AGGGUUUGAUCAUGGCUCAGAACGUACGCUGGCGGCACGCCUAACACAUGCAAGUCGAACGCAGUAGCAAUACUGAGUGGCAAACGGGUGAGUAUAAUGUGGGAAUCUGCCUUUUGGUUCGGAAUAACACGGGGAAACUUGUGCUAAUACCGAAUAAGCCCUUACGGGGAAAGUUUUAAUGCCGAAAGAUGAGCCCGCACUUGAUUAGCUAGUUGGUAAGGUAAAAGCUUACCAAGGCAACGAUCAAUAGCUGUUCUUAGAGGAAGACCAGCCACAUUGGGACUGAGACACGGCCCAGACUCCUACGGGAGGCAGCAGUGGGGAAUCUUGCACAAUGGGGGAAACCCUGAUGCAGCGAUGCCGCGUGAGUGAAGAAGGCCUUUGGGUUGUAAAACUCUUUCGUCGGGGAAGAAAAUGACUGUACCCGAAUAAGAAGGUCCGGCUAACUUCGUGCCAGCCGCCGCGGUAAUUC
RNAcentral lists this ribosomal RNA (472 nucleotides) under uncultured bacterium. Its description in RNAcentral is "bacterial SSU rRNA". It matches the Rfam family "Bacterial small subunit ribosomal RNA", at positions 8 to 526 of the family's 1533-position model. The record is from RNAcentral.